UGGCGAACCAGCCACACUGAUGGCCCCAGC
This 30-nucleotide non-coding RNA is filed under the name Rattus norvegicus (Norway rat). Lineage: Eukaryota; Metazoa; Chordata; Mammalia; Rodentia; Muridae. The record is from RNAcentral.